Molecule: ribosomal RNA, 903 nt
Filed under: Verticillium albo-atrum
Lineage: Eukaryota; Fungi; Ascomycota; Sordariomycetes; Glomerellales; Plectosphaerellaceae
Description: LSU rRNA
Rfam family: Eukaryotic large subunit ribosomal RNA
Source: RNAcentral
UAGCAUAUCAAUAAGCGGAGGAAAAGAAACCAACAGGGAUUGCCUUAGUAACGGCGAGUGAAGCGGCAACAGCUCAAAUUUGAAAUCUGGCUCCUUCGGGGUCCGAGUUGUAAUUUGCAGAGGAUGCUUCGAGUUAUGGUUCCUUCCGAGUUCCCUGGAACGGGACGCCAUAGAGGGUGAGAGCCCCGUCUGGUAGGAAACCAUGCUCAUGUGAAGCUCCCUCGACGAGUCGAGUAGUUUGGGAAUGCUGCUCUAAGGGGAGGUAUACUCCUUCCAAGGCUAAAUACCGGCUAGAGACCGAUAGCGCACAAGUAGAGUGAUCGAAAGAUGAAAAGUACUUUGAAAAGAGAGUCAAACAGCACGUGAAAUUGUUAAAAGGGAAGCGCUCGCUACCAGACGUGGGUUCGGUGGUUCAACCAGGUCCAUGACCUGGGGCACUCCGCCGGCCCAGGCCAGCAUCAGCUUUCCGUCGGGGGCAAAGGCGUCGGGAAUGUGGCUCUCCUUCGGGGGAGUGUUAUAGCCCGUCGCGUCAUACCCUUCGGGGGGCUGAGGUACGCGCUCCGCAAGGAUGCUGGCGUAAUGGUAGCUAGUGACCCGUCUUGAAACACGGACCAAGGAGUCAACCUUAUGUGCGAGUGCCCGGGCGUAAAACCCCAGCGCGGAAUGAAAGUGAACGUAGGUGAGAGCUUCGGCGCAUCACCGACCGAUCCUGAUGUCCUCGGACGGAUUUGAGUGAGAGCAUAUAGGGUUGGACCCGAAAGAAGAUGAACUAUGCGUGUGUAGGGUGAAGCCAGAGGAAACUCUGGUGGAGGCUCGCAGCGGUUCUGACGUGCAAAUCGAUCGUCAAACAUGCGCAUGGGGGCGAAAGACUAAUCGAAUCUUCUGGUAGCUGGUUUCCGCCGA